AGUUUGAUCCUGGCUCAGGACGAACGCUGGCGGCGCGCCUAACACAUGCAAGUCGAACGGAGCUGAGAGGAGCUUGCUUUUUUUAUGUUUGGGGCAAGGGUGAUAACGGUGGAUACCCCCCGGGGAGGGGGCAACAAUUGGAACCGUUUUUAACCCCCAAAACCCCCGGUGUUCCAUGGCAUGGGGAAAAGGUUUUUUCGUCUCAGGAUGACCUCGGCUCAAUUAAGUUGGUGGUGAGGAACCGCCCAACAAAGGGGAGUGUUGGUCCCGGACUUAGGGGUUAACCGCCCACUUGGGGAUGAACACGGGCCAGAUCUCUUCGGGGGGCACCAGUGGGGAUUUUGCACAAUGGGGGAAACCCUGAUGCAAGGACGCCGCGUGGAAGAAGAAGGUUUUCGGAUUGUAAACUCCUGUCGUUAGGGACGAUAAUGACGGUACCUAACAAGAAAGCACCGGCUAACUACGUGCCAGCAGCCGCGGUAAAACGUAGGGUGCAAGCGUUGUCCGGAAUUACUGGGUGUAAAGGGAGCGCAGGCGGACCGGCAAGUUGGAAGUGAAAUCCAUGGGCUCAACCCGUGAAUUGCUUUCAAAACUGCUGGCCUUGAGUAGUGCAGAGGUAGGUGGAAUUCCCGGUGUAGCGGUGGAAUGCGUAGAUAUCGGGAGGAACACCAGUGGCGAAGGCGACCUACUGGGCACCAACUGACGCUGAGGCUCGAAAGCAUGGGUAGCAAACAGGAUUAGAUACCCUGGUAGUCCAUGCCGUAAACGAUGAUUACUAGGUGUUGGAGGAUUGACCCCUUCAGUGCCGCAGUUAACACAAUAAGUAAUCCACCUGGGGAGUACGACCGCAAGGUUGAAACUCAAAGGAAUUGACGGGGGCCCGCACAAGCAGUGGAGUAUGUGGUUUAAUUCGAAGCAACGCGAAGAACCUUACCAGGUCUUGACAUCCGAUGCAUAGUGCAGAGAUGCAUGAAGUCCUUCGGGACAUCGAGACAGGUGGUGCAUGGUUGUCGUCAGCUCGUGUCGUGAGAUGUUGGGUUAAGUCCCGCAACGAGCGCAACCCUUAUUGCCAGUUACUACGCAAGAGGACUCUGGCGAGACUGCCGUUGACAAAACGGAGGAAGGUGGGGAUGACGUCAAAUCAUCAUGCCCUUUAUGACCUGGGCUACACACGUACUACAAUGGCGUUUAACAAAGAGAAGCAAGACCGCGAGGUGGAGCAAAACUCAGAAACAACGUCUCAGUUCAGAUUGCAGGCUGCAACUCGCCUGCAUGAAGUCGGAAUUGCUAGUAAUCGCGGAUCAGCAUGCCGCGGUGAAUACGUUCCCGGGCCUUGCACACACCGCCCGUC
RNAcentral lists this ribosomal RNA (1351 nucleotides) under uncultured bacterium. RNAcentral's name for it is "bacterial SSU rRNA". It matches the Rfam family "Bacterial small subunit ribosomal RNA". The record is from RNAcentral.